GAUGAAGAACGUAGUGAAAUGCGAUAAGUAAUGUGAAUUGCAGAAUUCAGUGAAUCAUCGAAUCUUUGAACGCACAUUGCGCCCGCCAGUAUUCUGGCGGGCAUGCCUGUUCGAGCGUCAUUUCAACCAUCAAGCCCCCGGGCUUGUGUUGGGGACCUGCGGCUGCCGCAGGCCCUGAAAACCAGUGGCGGGCUCGCUAGUCACUCCGAGCGUAGUAGUUACAUCUCGCUCAGGGCGUGCUGCGGGUUCCGGCCGUUAAAAGCCUUUUACCCCAAGGUUAACCUCGGAUCAGGUAGGAAGACCCGCUGAACUUAAGCAUAUCAAUAAGCGGAGGA
RNAcentral lists this unclassified non-coding RNA (335 nucleotides) under soil metagenome. RNAcentral describes it as "partial contains 5.8S ribosomal RNA, internal transcribed spacer 2, and large subunit ribosomal RNA". The stretch from base 1 to 120 matches the Rfam family "5.8S ribosomal RNA", at positions 35 to 154 of the family's 154-position model. The record is from RNAcentral.